Molecule: long non-coding RNA, 942 nt
Organism: Lagopus leucura (white-tailed ptarmigan)
Lineage: Eukaryota; Metazoa; Chordata; Aves; Galliformes; Phasianidae
Exons: 3
Source: RefSeq, a predicted model, not a curated record
UGCUUGCUGUAGCAGAGCGUGCUCGGUUACGUUCUUUUUCCUCAAGCAGAACGAAUGUCCGAUGGAAAAUGCAUAGUAUGAGUAAUGCAUGUGUCCGUGCAUCACAGGUUAUAGAAGAAUAUUCACAGAAGAUUCAGGCUAUGAUCAGAAGUGGCACCAACUCUCAAGAUGUUCCUCUUGGCUCCCUAACCUGUGAGCUGCUUGAAGCAAGGAUUGUAUUGUGCUGUUCAUAUGGAGCACACUGGGGCCCUAAUCUCAGUUGAGGUUUCUGUGUAUUACUGCAAAACAUGAAGAACUGGCAUAAUUUGUGUGCAUUUGUGGGAGGAAGAUUUGUAAGAUGAAAAAAAAUAAAAUAAAACAGUUGCGGUGGUAGCUUAUCAUUUAUCCUGGGAGUGCAUAUAGCUAGAAUGACACAGGAAAAGUAAUGCCCAUUGUACUUGCUUAGACUAUGACAUUAAUGGACUUGCUAAAAUUGUAAUAAUAUAUGUCUUUUAAGGAGUCAUUCUGGCAAUCUGACAAACCACCAUUUAGCUCUAACAAUGUUUGAUCCUCAUCCUGAGCCAUAGGCUGGAUUGCAUCUUGAAGACUGAAGCUGCAAAAGUGUCAAACUAGAAUAAAUUAAGAAAUUCAACUGCAGAAAGACAGAACGGAGUAAUGACAGGUUACUGCUUCCAAGCUUCUUGCUGACUGGGUUUGCACCAUCCUUUCUGCUAUCUCCUUUUCUUUCAUAUCUUGGUCUUGCAUAUCAUAUUUGUCAUGGUAAUAAUUUGAGCUUGCCCACCUCCCACUCAGAGAUGUUUGCUUCUUCCCCGUUUAAUGCGCUGCACAGAACAAUUCUCCUAAACUAAUCUGUUAGCUUGUUCAUAAUCCAAUGUCUGACAGGAAUGUGGCUGUUAAACACAUGGGAGUAAAAUUUAUUGUAUUUACAACUUUAGGCUUCUG